CCGCGGGGGAGGGCCGCGGGCCGAGGACUUUUGCAAUUUCCCGUCUUGCCGCGCACUCUUGGCGCUCCUGGGACCCACAGGAAUUCGCCUCCUUUUGGUCCCCGGGGAAGCGGACGGGACCCCGCGGAGUUAUACGAUCGACUAUCAAGGAGAGCCUUGUCGACUUUGGAGCUGAUAUGGCAUCCCUAAUACUGCCACUUCCUCAGCAGCCUGGCGAUCCAGAGAGGACAGCGGUGAGACGCCCGUGUCCGGGGCACUCGCCCGGAUGCCCGAACCUCGGAGGCUUGCUCAUGGCACUGUUUCUGGUCGGCUAAGCCUGUUCUGGUUCCGGUUUGGGGACCCUAGACAGUAUCACAAAUGGCAGGGACUGGAUUUAAUCAAGUUAAGAUGAGGUCAUACUAGAUGAAUCCAAUGACUGCUGUCCUUAUGGAAGAGGGAAAUUUGGACACAGAUACUCAGGAGGAAUACUACGUAACUUCUGAGGCAGAGACUGGAGUUAAUUCUGCCUCGUGGCAAGGAACGCCAAGGAUUGCUGGCAACCAGAAGAAGCUAGGAGAAAGCAGUAUUUGGUAACCAAACUGAUGAAGUUUGAAGGAAUUGGGCGUUUUUUGAAGAAAGUGACUUCAUCAAAAGGAAGAUUAUCUGUAUGUGCUGCUGUGGAACUAUGUCCAAGAUAUAUAAUUAAGUGAAAAAGGUAAGAGUCAGAAAUAUGUAUUUGGUAUGUCUGUGCUUCUAUUUGUUAAUGUUUAUGGAAUAUACAUAAGCAUGUUUUGAGUAGGAUUGUAAGAAGUUGGUAACAGGUUGUUCUUGGGGAGAAGGUCAAGAAUGGGGGUGUGUGUAAAGGAAGCUUGUCCUUUUCAUUUUAGACCUAUCUGUGCAGAUUAAUUUUUUAUCAUGUGUUUUGAUUUUUAAAAGUAAUAAUUUUAAAAAUCAAAGAAUGACUUACUUGAUUGAGAAGGAACCUCAUUUGUUAUUCAUUUUGGUUGUUAGACUCAAUUUAUAAUCAGUUAUAAUUUCUCUGUAAGGAUAUAGAAGAAACAAAAUUAAUUGCCCCUGAAGAAGAGAAUGAGAUGACUGAGAGACAGAAGGAAGAGUUUUAACUCUA
Molecule: long non-coding RNA, 1105 nt
Organism: Pteropus alecto (black flying fox)
Lineage: Eukaryota; Metazoa; Chordata; Mammalia; Chiroptera; Pteropodidae
Exons: 5
Source: RefSeq, a predicted model, not a curated record